This 292-nucleotide ribosomal RNA is filed under the name uncultured bacterium. RNAcentral's name for it is "partial 16S ribosomal RNA". It matches the Rfam family "Bacterial small subunit ribosomal RNA", at positions 505 to 796 of the family's 1533-position model. The record is from RNAcentral.
GUGCCAGCAGCCGCGGUAAAACGUAGGGGGCGAGCGUUAUCCGGAUUUACUGGGCGUAAAGCGCACGCAGGCGGCGGAUCAAGUUGGACGUGAAAGCUCCCGGCUUAACUGGGAGAGGUCGUUCGAGACUGAUCGGCUCGAGGCCAAGAGAGGAGAGCAGAAUUCCCGGUGUAGUGGUGGAAUGCGUAGAUAUCGGGAGGAAUACCAGUGGCGAAGGCGGCUCUCUGGCUUGGAACUGACGCUGAGGUGCGAAAGCGUGGGGAGCGAACGGGAUUAGAAACCCUUGUAGUCC